GGGGGGGGGGGGGGGGGGGCGGGGGGGGGGGGGGGCGGAGGCUGAAGGUUGGGGCUGGCAGUGGGGGGGGGGGUGGCGGACGGGGGAGGAGUGAGUGAGUGGCCGGGGCGGGAGCGGGGGGUCGGCGGGGGGAAGGGGGUCUAAUACUGGGUGGGGCAUGUAGCGGCGUGGGGGGUGGUGGGAGGGGUUUUCCUGGUUUUGGGUGGGCUCUCGGCCUAUCAGGCUGUUGGUGGGGUAAUGGGUCACCAAGGGGACGACGGGUGGCCGGCCUGAGAGGGUGACCGGCCACACUGGGACUGAGACACGGCCCAGACUCCUACGGGAGGCAGCAGUGGGGAAUAUUGCACAAUGGGCGGAAGCCUGAUGCAGCGACGCCGCGUGAGGGAUGACGGCCUUCGGGUUGUAAACCUCUUUCAGCACGGAAGAAGCGAAAGUGACGGUACGUGCAGAAGAAGCGCCGGCUAACUACGUG
This 472-nucleotide ribosomal RNA is filed under the name uncultured bacterium. RNAcentral describes it as "partial 16S ribosomal RNA". It matches the Rfam family "Bacterial small subunit ribosomal RNA", at positions 38 to 507 of the family's 1533-position model. The record is from RNAcentral.